RNAcentral lists this ribosomal RNA (253 nucleotides) under uncultured bacterium. RNAcentral's name for it is "partial 16S ribosomal RNA". It matches the Rfam family "Bacterial small subunit ribosomal RNA", at positions 524 to 776 of the family's 1533-position model. The record is from RNAcentral.
UACGUAGGGUGCAAGCGUUGUCCGGAAUUAUUGGGCGUAAAGAGCUUGUAGGCGGUUUGUCGCGUCUGCUGUGAAAUUUCGGGGCUCAACCCCGAACUUGCAGUGGGUACGGGCAGACUAGAGUGUGGUAGGGGAGACUGGAAUUCCUGGUGUAGCGGUGAAAUGCGUAGAUAUCAGGAGGAACACCUGUGGUGUAGACAGCUUACUGGACCACUUCUGACGCUGAGACACGAAAGCGUGGGUAGCAAACAGG